This 181-nucleotide non-coding RNA is filed under the name Verrucomicrobiota bacterium. RNAcentral describes it as "Verrucomicrobia bacterium (groundwater metagenome) 6S RNA". It matches the Rfam family "6S / SsrS RNA". Rfam says of the family: E. coli 6S RNA was the first non coding RNA to be sequenced, but its function was unknown until recently. Lineage: Bacteria; Pseudomonadati; Verrucomicrobiota. The record is from RNAcentral.
AGUACCCUGCCUGGUGCGUGGUUACGAGCCAAAUCUCUGACCCGUUAAUAAUGCUACCGGGGAGCUUGAAUUCCGUGGCGCCCUUAGGCCCUUCUAUAGGGAUCUGGAACCCACGGGCUAAAGCACCCACCUUGUUCUGCGGAACAGAAAUUGACUCCGUCACGGCCAAGGUGGGGUAUUC